Molecule: small nucleolar RNA, 138 nt
Filed under: Ornithorhynchus anatinus (platypus)
Lineage: Eukaryota; Metazoa; Chordata; Mammalia; Monotremata; Ornithorhynchidae
Source: RNAcentral
CCCCUCUCAGGGUUGCACCUGGAGAGUUUCCAGUCCUCUACCAGUCUCGGCUAUGGGAGGGAAAGUCAAGCAGAGGCCUGUCCAUUCCAUUCCUAGCUUGGCCAGUGGCUAGCAAGUGGCAGGCCAUCUGUUAUAAGU